Molecule: long non-coding RNA, 999 nt
Organism: Hordeum vulgare subsp. vulgare (domesticated barley)
Lineage: Eukaryota; Viridiplantae; Streptophyta; Magnoliopsida; Poales; Poaceae
Exons: 2
Source: RefSeq, a predicted model, not a curated record
ACAUUUUGCUUCGUAUGUAGUCUACUAGUGAAAUCUCUAAAAGGUCUUAUAUUUAGGAACGGAGGGAGUAUAAGCUGUCUAUAUCGCUAUCUAAAGAUGACAUGAAAAGUUGCUAUAGACGGAUGUUAUAAAUAUCAGCGCCAAAAUAUACAUGAUAACAUAUAUGCAAAUAGUAUGAUAAUUUAUGCAGAAUGAAGUCGAUAACUUAAAUACAAACACCGCGGUAACAUUUGACCAAGGAAGAAAGAAUUGUCGAAAACAUAUCUUGAUACGAAGCAUCCCUCGAUCAUCCCCAUGGGCACACCUCAAACUACAAGUGGUCCCAUGACAAGAGCUCGCGCAGGUGCCAUUGAAGUACCAGGGUCAACAUCUCCAAGACACUACGGAAAUGGACUCGAAGACGAACGAGUGAGAUAACCCAAGCAAGGAGAAGUCCACAGGAGCCGAGAACUUCCGGUGCCCGGACCUCCCCCCCCCUCAGCCUCUGCAAAUGCAGCCUCGACAACUUUCGGCCUAGUCCGGAACAAGCCCAGAACCUGCCCAAAACUUCCGCCCCCUGACGUCCGGCCAGCCCGGAACUUCCGGCCACGCUCAACCUCGGCGCCUCGACUAGCGACAUCUAUCGGGAAAGCCCGGAACUUCCGGCCUGCCUGCCCGCAUACACUCAGGCCCGAGUGCCCAUGUACCCCUCCGGCCUCCAUUUCCGACUUAGACUAUAAAUACUCUUCUCCUACCUUCGUUUUAGGGUUAGCUAAUGUUUAGACAACCAUUUCUUGAGCUUAGCUCCAUCUACUAUCCUCCUCCCAUGGAGAUGUCCUCCAUGUGGGAAGAUCCAUAGUGAUGCCAAGGCCCCUAAUCUAGGGAAGAUCCCCUUGCGAAUACAAGGCCCCUCUCGUAGGGAAGACUAUCGUUACGUGUAUCCUUUUGUUGACUUUGGAUUGUGUAUCCCCAUGUGUUUGUGUGGAUCUAGUGGAUGUGUGAUUUGAGGAUUGUUCUUGA